This 805-nucleotide ribosomal RNA is filed under the name Streptomyces griseolus. RNAcentral describes it as "bacterial SSU rRNA". It matches the Rfam family "Bacterial small subunit ribosomal RNA", at positions 75 to 894 of the family's 1533-position model. Lineage: Bacteria; Bacillati; Actinomycetota; Actinomycetes; Kitasatosporales; Streptomycetaceae. The record is from RNAcentral.
GCCUUUCGGGGUGGAUUAGUGGCGAACGGGUGAGUAACACGUGGGCAAUCUGCCCUUCACUCUGGGACAAGCCCUGGAAACGGGGUCUAAUACCGGAUAACACUCUGUCCCGCAUGGGACGGGGUUAAAAGCUCCGGCGGUGAAGGAUGAGCCCGCGGCCUAUCAGCUUGUUGGUGGGGUGAUGGCCUACCAAGGCGACGACGGGUAGCCGGCCUGAGAGGGCGACCGGCCACACUGGGACUGAGACACGGCCCAGACUCCUACGGGAGGCAGCAGUGGGGAAUAUUGCACAAUGGGCGAAAGCCUGAUGCAGCGACGCCGCGUGAGGGAUGACGGCCUUCGGGUUGUAAACCUCUUUCAGCAGGGAAGAAGCGAAAGUGACGGUACCUGCAGAAGAAGCGCCGGCUAACUACGUGCCAGCAGCCGCGGUAAUACGUAGGGCGCAAGCGUUGUCCGGAAUUAUUGGGCGUAAAGAGCUCGUAGGCGGCUUGUCACGUCGGAUGUGAAAGCCCGGGGCUUAACCCCGGGUCUGCAUUCGAUACGGGCUAGCUAGAGUGUGGUAGGGGAGAUCGGAAUUCCUGGUGUAGCGGUGAAAUGCGCAGAUAUCAGGAGGAACACCGGUGGCGAAGGCGGAUCUCUGGGCCAUUACUGACGCUGAGGAGCGAAAGCGUGGGGAGCGAACAGGAUUAGAUACCCUGGUAGUCCACGCCGUAAACGUUGGGAACUAGGUGUUGGCGACAUUCCACGUCGUCGGUGCCGCAGCUAACGCAUUAAGUUCCCCGCCUGGGGAGUACGGCCGCAAGGC